This is a long non-coding RNA of Mercenaria mercenaria, 1392 nucleotides long. RefSeq lists it as uncharacterized. The transcript is spliced from 3 exons. Lineage: Eukaryota; Metazoa; Mollusca; Bivalvia; Venerida; Veneridae. The record is from RefSeq and is a predicted model, not a curated record.
AGGUGGCACAAGACCACAGUUAUUUGCCCUUGGUUGACCACAAUACGGAAGUGGUUACGCGGAAAAUAGUUCCUCUGUUUGAUGGUGAAUAUUGGUGAAUUUUUGAGUGAAAGACCUGCAAUAAAUGGCAUGAUUUAAUAGAGGAGAUAUGAAACAGUAGGUACAUGUACAAUUUGACAGAAUGAAAAUGUCAGAAUAUGCAUAACAUGACUUUUUGAUAGGGCCUGUUUGCGGCCAUCUAGAGGGUAUUCUUCAUACGCAUGUGAUUUGGUUCAAAAUGGUGGAAAAAAAGAGCCGGUCAACCCAAUAUUUACUGUGGCUGGAAUUUUUUCUCUUGAAUAGUUCUGUUGAGUUCAGGUAUUUUUAUAGGGGUUGGAAUGCAUGCAAAAUUGCUAUAGUGUCCAGUGCCUAUAUAGAACAUAUAGUAAAAAUAACUGUGGUCUUAGGCCUGAUAUAGUGGAAAAUGUCAGAAAGUAAAUUGUCAAUAUUUUUUUUAAUUUUUCAAUCUACAUGGCUGAAAUUUUGACAGUGAAUGGCUGGUAGGCAUAGAAAUCUGUACCUAAAAACCUGAAAUGAGAGCGCUCGGACAAUGUGAAGUUUGUCGCAUAGACGGGGAUUGACCGCCUUUGUACAUAUAUGUCUACAGCUUCUCAGAUUUGACUGAAGACAGUUGUUCGGUGUUGUGAAUGGAUGUUGUUUGGCCGAAGGCCUUCCAGUCACACAGAAGAUCCUGGUUCGGUCACACGAAGAGUCACUUCCAUUGAUAUUAGUCACAGGAAAAAUUAGGAGCACCAGUUGUAGUUUCUCAGGUUGAUAUUUAUUAAGGUUUUUGCUGAAAUUAAGCCAGUUUGGAACAUUCAGCAGGCAGUGAUGUACAUUAAAAUCAUUCUUUAUAGAGAUAGGGGCUGUUUUGCCAGAAUGCUCAGCUGUGAUACACAAUGUAAGAUUUUGUGCAGUGUAAAUGGUCAUGGUGUGCAUGUUUCAUUUACAGAGUGCACUGAAUGCCUGUAAACUGUAAGAUUUGAGUGAAAUAUUCAUUCCAGAAAGACUCAUAAGCUUUUUAGAAAGCUCACAUAUUGGAUUUUUCAGAGCUGUUUGGCUCAUUUUACCUAGGGUAGCCAUAAAUGAAUGAUCACUGAAAAGUAUAUGACACAUAUAUGUACAAAAGCUAUUCAUGCUCAUAUUUGCCACAUACUGGGCUGCUUAAAAAGGGCAAAUUUGACAGCUACAGGAUUUUUCUUAGUUCACAUUUUACUUUUUCGUGUGAGUAGACUACGCGUUUUGACGUGCUUUUUGUAAUAUGAAUAGUUUUCCUUAAAAUUGGAACAGUGAUAUUGUAAUCAGACUUGAAGUGGCUCUUAAUUUGGAUAGAUGUAUAUUAAGGAAACAUGC